AUUGAACGCUGGCGGCAGGCUUAACACAUGCAAGUCGAGCGGGGUGAUGGUGCUUGCACUAUCACUUAGCGGCGGACGGGUGAGUAAUGCUUAGGAAUCUGCCUAUUAGUGGGGGACAACAUCUCGAAAGGGAUGCUAAUACCGCAUACGUCCUACGGGAGAAAGCAGGGGAUCACUUGUGACCUUGCGCUAAUAGAUGAGCCUAAGUCGGAUUAGCUAGUUGGUGGGGUAAAGGCCUACCAAGGCGACGAUCUGUAGCGGGUCUGAGAGGAUGAUCCGCCACACUGGGACUGAGACACGGCCCAGAAUCCUACGGGAGGCAGCAGUGGGGAAUAUUGGACAAUGGGGGGAACCCUGAUCCAGCCAUGCCGCGUGUGUGAAGAAGGCCUUAUGGUUGUAAAGCACUUUAAGCGAGGAGGAGGCUCUUUUGGUUAAUACCCAAGAUGAGUGGACGUUACUCGCAGAAUAAGCACCGGCUAACUCUGUGCCAGCAGCCGCCGCAG
Molecule: ribosomal RNA, 503 nt
Filed under: uncultured bacterium
Lineage: Bacteria
Description: partial 16S ribosomal RNA
Rfam family: Bacterial small subunit ribosomal RNA
Source: RNAcentral